AAUUCCAGCUCCAAUAGUGUAUAUUAGAGUUGUUGCAGUUAAAAAGCUCGUAGUUGGAUUUCUGUCGUGGUCAUCCGGCCUUGCCCGUAGGGUGUGCGCCUGGGUUGCCCGCGGCUUUCUUCCGGUAGCCUUCCGCGCUUCGCUGCGUGCGUUGGUGUUCCGGAACUUUUACUUUGAGAAAAAUAGAGUGUUUCAAGCAGGCUUGUCGCCCUGAAUACUGCAGCAUGGAAUAAUAAGAUAGGACCUUGGUUCUAUUUUGUUGGUUUCUAGGACCGAGGUAAUGAUUAAUAGGGACAGUUGGGGGCAUUCGUAUUUAACUGUCAGAGGUGAAAUUCUUAGAUUUGUUAAAGACGAACUACUGCGAAAGCAUUUGCCAAGGAUGUUUUCAUUAAUCAAGAACGACAGUAGGGGGUUUGAAGACGAUUAGAUACCGUCGUAAUCUCUACCAUAAACUAUGCCGACUAGAGAUAGGGAAACGCCUACCUUGGCUUCUCCUG
This 497-nucleotide ribosomal RNA is filed under the name Cyclospora cayetanensis. RNAcentral's name for it is "SSU rRNA". It matches the Rfam family "Eukaryotic small subunit ribosomal RNA", at positions 581 to 1083 of the family's 1831-position model. Lineage: Eukaryota; Apicomplexa; Conoidasida; Eucoccidiorida; Eimeriidae. The record is from RNAcentral.